RNAcentral lists this ribosomal RNA (47 nucleotides) under Lactifluus ochrogalactus. Its description in RNAcentral is "Lactarius ochrogalactus partial 28S ribosomal RNA". The record is from RNAcentral. Lineage: Eukaryota; Fungi; Basidiomycota; Agaricomycetes; Russulales; Russulaceae. RNAcentral also lists the same sequence under 2 other names.
UUGACCUCAAAUCGGGUGAGACUACCCGCUGAACUUAAGCAUAUCAU